This 504-nucleotide ribosomal RNA is filed under the name uncultured Glomus. RNAcentral describes it as "SSU rRNA". It matches the Rfam family "Eukaryotic small subunit ribosomal RNA", at positions 569 to 1074 of the family's 1831-position model. Lineage: Eukaryota; Fungi; Glomeromycota; Glomeromycetes; Glomerales; Glomeraceae. The record is from RNAcentral.
AGCAGCCGCGGUAAUUCCAGCUCCAAUAGCGUAUAUUAAAGUUGUUGCAGUUAAAAAGCUCGUAGUUGAAUUUCGGGAUCAAUUUGCUGGUCGUGCCUUCGGUACGCACUGGUAUUAUUGGUUUCUCCUUUCUGAUGAAUCGCGAUGUCAUUAAUUUGGUGUCGUGGGGAAUCAGGACUGUUACUUUGAAAAAAUUAGAGUGUUUAAAGCAGGCUCACGCUUGAAUACAUUAGCAUGGAAUAAUGAAAUAGGACGUUUUGAUUCUAUUUUGUUGGUUUCUAGGAUCGACGUAAUGAUUAAUAGGGAUAGUUGGGGGCAUUAGUAUUCAAUUGUCAGAGGUGAAAUUCUUGGAUUUAUUGAAGACUAACUACUGCGAAAGCAUUUGCCAAGGAUGUUUUCAUUAAUCAAGAACGAAAGUUAGGGGAUCGAAGACGAUCAGAUACCGUCGUAGUCUUAACCAUAAACUAUGCCGACUAGGGAUCGGAUGAUGUUAAUUUUUAAUGA